UUUAGUUUUAUUUUUUGUAAAAAAACUGUCAAUUCGAUUUUUUUCAAAAUUUUAUCGAAUGUUGAGAACAAUAUUUCUUAUAAGUAAAAAUUAGUUAAAAGCUAUUCAGGCUUAUUCCGAUAGGCGUUUUGUUUUUAAACGCCAGUGUCGUUUGUCGUGGCGUCUCGUUUUUUCUUUGGUAUUCCGUAACUCAAACGCCGGAGUUUCUUUCGCUCUUACAUUCCACAUACGAUCCACUACAACAGCUGACAUUUGAAACUUCAAAAUUGUUUUUAAAUUGAAUACAUAAUUUCUUUUCUGAAAUUUAAUUUGUAAAAUUUGUUUAAAUUUCUUGUAAAUACAAAAAGAAACGGAAAAAUGUAUAGUGUAGCAAGUUAUUUUUCGUGGAUUCGUAGUGACGACGAAGAGAAAGAAAAAAAAAGGAAGAUAUAUUCGAUCUAAAGCAAAUCCUUUUGAUUUGCCCGAUUCAAAAUUCAAAAUGUAUUUUCGUCUGGACAAAGAGGCCUUCAAGUAUAUUUUUUGUUUGAUCAAAGACAGUUUUCCUCAGCAACGUUUUGUGGCAAUUCCAACGAUUUUGAAACUAGCUGCUACCCUUAGAUUUUUCGCCGGAGGAAGCUACCAAAAAGGGGUUGAAAACGACUUCAAUUUGGGAUUAGCGCAGCCUACUCAUAGCAAAAUUCUUAAGGAAAUGUUAAACACUCUCGAGGAAAAAGUUUGCCCCCUUUGGAUUAAGAUGAAUCUCUCAGAUGAAGAAAAAUCGGAAGCAAAAAUACAUUUUUUUCAACAAGCUGGAAUUCCAGGUGUUAUUGGGUGCGUCGAUGGAACACAUGUUAAAAUUUUCGCGCCUGAGAAAAUAGAUCAACACAGAUAUUACAACAGAAAAUAAUUUUUUAGUAUUAACGUGAUGCUGGUCUGUGAUAACAGAAUGCGUAUAAAAUACGUAGAUGCAAGACAUGCUGGAGCUAGCCAUCAUUCCCUAGUUUGGAAUGCUAGCGAGUUUCGAGGGUUUUUGAAAAGGAAUUAUGAUGGAGGUGAAAGAAAUACUUGUC
Eupeodes corollae is the source of this 1049-nucleotide long non-coding RNA. RefSeq lists it as uncharacterized. The transcript is spliced from 3 exons. Lineage: Eukaryota; Metazoa; Arthropoda; Insecta; Diptera; Syrphidae. The record is from RefSeq and is a predicted model, not a curated record.